CCAGACUCCACCAAGUGAAGAACCUAGAUCUACAAGCACAAACACACUGGAGAGACUGGACACUCAGGCAAUCAUUGCCCUGAGAUGCUUGAGGACGUAAACUACAUCAACAACUACUACUACUACUACAACCGUCCUCAACAAAACCAAGGUUGGAAUCAAUGGAGGCCUAACUACUCAGAGAGGCAAUCCAGGACGCCCCGUCAUCCCGAUCUCUAUCGGUAUGGUGGACUUCCCAGAAGCAGUCUGCGACUUUGCCUCCAGCGUCAACAUUAUACCCACGGGAGGCCAUUCCUGAACACCUCGGGAGCGGUCAUCCACGCUAGUGCUGCCAAGAUCAGUUUCUACAUCAAAGGGAGGAAGGAGACCUUUUCCUUCAAGAACAAGACUACACAAAUCUCAAAGCAAUCCCGACAUGAACCAAGGAAGAGGAUCAACAGGGGGAACACGAACAAGCAAAUGUAGACUGAGUCAGCUAAGAUGGUCACUGCAGCUCAAGGAGGUCAAGACCGUCAACUCAAGUCGCCUUUCUUGGUCAAGAAGGACGACCCUAGUGUUCCAAGCAUCGAGUGCACAAUCAACGGAUAUUCUUUUCAUAAGCUCUACGACACCGGAUCUGACGUCAACAUAAUGGCCGCAGUCACUUAUCAGCUCCUGCAUGGAACCAUUCCCCUACAACCAACAUACAUUCACCUCCAGAUGAUUUUAAGGUUAUUGACAUGGGAGAAGACGAGUACAAUCCACCCAUCACCAUUGGGAGACCGUUCCUCAGCACCGUUAAAGCAAUCAUCUACAUUGGAACCAGAGAGUCCACAUGCAUUUCCCCUCUGAGAAGGUACGCUGCUAUUUUACUGACCCUAACCAUAUAGUUGAAGACUCUAAGCAGGUCAGGACAAGAAGAAGACGACGCAGCCUCAACCAGAGGAGGCAAAUUAUCAAGGACGGAUGGGCGGACUAUGAAGGAGAAGUGGUAAGGUCUGAAGACGUACAACUUGAACAGAACUGUCCUGAGGAGACCGUAGCACCGAGCCAGGUGUGGAGAGAGAAGAUAGUUAUACAUGACGAGAAGGCGCCGCCGGAACCACCGACUACGCCAUUCAGCGAAUCCCAUGACGACUGAGAAAACGAAAAGUCCCGUUUGGAGGACUUAAAAACACGGAACGCCUUGCCAAGAGGUAAACUUGGUAGUUAUCCUUUUUCCUUUCAAUUAUUUUAAAAUAGUUUGCUUAGUUAAUUAGGUUCAUAUCAUCUCGAAAAGAAAAUAAAAAUAUUAAAAAUAGUAAGCCCCAUGUGAGUAUGCUCAUGGCAUAAAACCCAUAAGUACAUUCACUGUGGUGGCGUAAAAAUAAAAUAAAUAUAUUCCUGUCCUAUAAAAAUGAAAAUAUAAAAAUAAAUUUAUGAUCCUACCAAAGAGUGUAACAUUUAUUGAGGAGGCUCAACAUGAUAAAGGUUAGAUAUUUAUGCUAACACUGAACUAGUUCCACAAAGCUUUGUUGUCUAUUUGAGCUCCACAGAAUUCAAGGAUCAAAGAAGACUAGCAGACGGAGGACAUCCUAAUCACUGUCAGGGUGCUGCCGACAUUCAAGUACACCUCCGCCACCUGCUACAUCAAAAGGAAUUACGUCAAAAUCCAGCUUGGGGGAGAGCAACCCCAUUUAUCCAGCUAAGUAUUCUACUCACGUUUAUACUUUACUCUAAUAUGCUUAUAUAUAUAUAUCUUUGCUUAGUCUGAUAAAUAAAUAAAUAAAUAAAGUUUGCUAUAAACCCUCAUGAUAAGCUCUCACAUAGAAAUGAUGAAUAGUUGCUCUGCCAUGACUAGUUCUCAAAAUUGAAAUCUCUCUCAAGUUUAGGCAUGACUGUUAUUAAUUAAGAUUUGCUCUAAACCUGAACUUGUGGGGAGAGUACUUGAUCUAAAGUCUAAGUCAUUAACGGAUACGAUAUGGGAAGGUUGAGCUGUUGUUUAUCUGUUCCUAGAGAUGCUAGAAUUCUGGAGAAUUUUAUCUUUGAAAAUCUUUAAAAUAACACAUGAUGAGUUCCUGUAUGAUGAGAGUUUAAAUUCGUACCACAGCCAUAUAUACAUGCUUGUUAGACUUUGAGCCACACAUUUACUUUUUACUACUUAUGAGCAUUGAGUGUGGUCAAGCUGUGUAGACCCUUAGGAGCUUGUCAUGUGGUUAAAUCAAGAUUCACUUGCACGUUCACUCAUACAUACUGCUUCUACUCUGGAAGUACGCAUCCACAUAUAUCCUUCCAUUUCCAUCUCCAGAACCACCCAAAAAUAUUCUACUCCUAAUCCGGGAGAGAAUAGCCAAAAACAAUCUCCUAUUUCUAUUUUUCCCUGUGAAAUAAAUGCUCAAGUUAUCUUGGUUACUACCACUUGCUACAUUAUUUCAGGAGAUGAGUGCUCUAAAAAAAAGAAGAAAGAAAAAAAAAGAGAAAGAAUACGAGGAAAUAAAAAGGGGCAAGUGCCCGGAACCUCGAAAGAAAAGAAAAAGUGAGACGAGAGGUAAAAAUGGACAAGUGUCCGACAGUAGAUUUAGGGGUACAAGAUACCCACCUAAGAGAAAUGAAAAAUAAAAUAUAGAGCAUCUCAUUCUCCUCAAAAAGUUUCAAAAGAGCAAGAAAGGUAUGUAUCCCCUGAAAAGAGCACAAGUAGAAUUAGACUUUCACCAUUGUUAUCACCAUCAUCACCAUACACCUUUCAUUCGCCACACAUGCACAUCUUGAUUUGACUUAUUGACUUGUUCUUUUGGAUCCAUGGUUUCACUAUGCAAUAAAUGUCUUGUAAGUAUGUAUUAGCUGUCUCCCACCUAUGAGCUCCAGAUAUCAAAACCUUAUUAGAGUAGGGUGAGAGAGAAGGCAAUGUCACUAUGCCUUAUACCACAAAUACCACAUACUUUGAGAGAAGGCAUAUACCAUUACUGCCUCGGUAAGGAUCCAGAAAUACCACAAAAGAGAGACUAGAGAGAGUCAUACAAGGAAUCUCUGAGUUUUAUUUGAAAAUCUGCAAAAACUCCAGAGCUACAGUUAAUCAAAGAACAAGAGACAUGGCUCAAGACACAAGUGACGGUUGCAAGCCCCAUGGUGGAAGGUACAAUGGGUUAGUUUAAAUCUUAACAGUUUACCCUAACCCAGAGAUGAGAUCUUGUUUGAACGCAUGUAUAUCUUUAAGGCAUGAAACCACUGUAGAAACUCUUGAGUCCAUCUUUGCUCAGGGACGAGCAAAGGUUAAGCUUGGGGGAGCUUGUUGACGGUCCUUAAAGCUCACAUUUAACCGUGAACUAAUCAUAGAAAAGGAUCCAAAUGCAAACAACACCUAGACUUAGGGUUUUAUCUGACAGAAUUCCACGAGUUUUGGUGUUUGUCUAUUUCUGUAGGGGGUUAUCAGGAAAUAAGAAAGAAAGGCCCACACGUCGGGUUUACAUAGAGAUAUUAACGUGCCGCGCAAUUUUCUACCAUCUAGAUGACUCUAGAAGCCACGGGAACGAACGGGAGGCCGAUCGGGCCCGGGGGCAGGGCGCCCGCCCUCCCCCCUUGGGUGCCUACCUAGCUACAGUAACCAAUCAGCUUCAACUUCGUGGAUUGUGCUCCACCGACCUAAGGGACGAAGGAAAACCGUGCGAUUAAUGUCGGUUGGAUCCGACGGCCCAGAUUCAUCUGAAAAGACUAUAUAAGCAAGGCCCCCUGGCCCCUGGAGAGCAUACCUCUUCUACAGAAUCAAAGUUAGGGUUUCAAUUCUUCAUCCAAGUAGAGAGGAUCCCUCUAGUUCUUCUAGUUCUACCUCUAGUUCAUCUAGAUCUAGUUCUAGUUCAUCUAGUUCUAAUUCUAGUUCCUCUAGUUCUAGUUCUAGUUAGUUCUAGUUGUAAUCUAGAAAAUAGGGAGAGAGAAGAGGAGAGCGGAGGAGGAGCCGGGUCUGUCGGAUCUUCCUCAACAUUAUACUUUUGCAGCAUCUGGUUCGUUCUUCAUCGUUCU
This 3972-nucleotide long non-coding RNA is filed under the name Sorghum bicolor (sorghum). Its description in RNAcentral is "long non-coding RNA (SBIC_LNC012470)". Lineage: Eukaryota; Viridiplantae; Streptophyta; Magnoliopsida; Poales; Poaceae. The record is from RNAcentral.